This 651-nucleotide ribosomal RNA is filed under the name uncultured Oxalobacter sp. Its description in RNAcentral is "bacterial SSU rRNA". It matches the Rfam family "Bacterial small subunit ribosomal RNA", at positions 56 to 702 of the family's 1533-position model. The record is from RNAcentral. Lineage: Bacteria; Pseudomonadati; Pseudomonadota; Betaproteobacteria; Burkholderiales; Oxalobacteraceae.
UGCAAGUCGAACGGCAGCAUGGGGGCAACCCUGAUGGCGAGUGGCGAACGGGUGAGUAAUAUAUCGGAACGUACCCAAGAGUGGGGGACAACCAGUCGAAAGAUUGGCUAAUACCGCAUACGAUCUAAGGAUGAAAGUGGGGGACCUUCGGGCCUCACGCUCCUGGAGCGGCCGAUAGCUGAUUAGCUAGUUGGUGGGGUAAAGGCCUACCAAGGCGAUGAUCAGUAGCUGGUCUGAGAGGACGAUCAGCCACACUGGGACUGAGACACGGCCCAGACUCCUACGGGAGGCAGCAGUGGGGAAUUUUGGACAAUGGGGGAAACCCUGAUCCAGCAAUGCCGCGUGAGUGAAGAAGGCCUUCGGGUUGUAAAGCUCUUUUGUCAGGGAAGAAAUUGAUUGGGCUAAUAUCCCGAUUAGAUGACGGUACCUGAAGAAUAAGCACCGGCUAACUACGUGCCAGCAGCCGCGGUAAUACGUAGGGUGCGAGCGUUAAUCGGAAUUACUGGGCGUAAAGCGUGCGCAGGCGGUUGUGUAAGACAGAUGUGAAAUGCCCGGGCUAAACCUGGGAAUUGCAUUUGUGACUGCACGGCUAGAGUGUGUCAGAGGGGGGUAGAAUUCCACGUGUAGCAGUGAAAUGCGUAGAUAUGUGGA